GUGGUGGCACCUCGUGCUCCAGGGGUGGGAGUCGUCCAUUCUCCUUGGCCUGGAGCUUCUCUGAGCGGGACCAGCAGGAAGGGGGUGUGAAGAACUUCUCCUGCAGACUGGAGUCCUCGGUCUUGUCAUCAUGCAUUUCAACUCCCCUAAGGUGCUGAUCCAUGUCAUCCAACUCACGGAGAGCCAAGAUAUGAAGGACCAGACAACGGAGGCUUGCCAUGCUUAACAGACAGCCUUUGGCUUGUGUCCAGAGAGAGGCAACCAGAGAUGCCAGAGACCGUGCCCUAUCAGUCCAAUGCAGCAGACUGCAAACAUGAUCCUCUCACUAUCUGCAGCCCCACCCCACUUCACCUCCAAAGUGACUGUUCCCUUCCUCGAUUUGAUGAUCCUCUUACAUAUCAGCGAUGAAACCCUCUGUCCUGCCGUCUUCUGACUUCCCACAGGCAAGUUCCCAGCCCUGGGAAUCACUGUCCCCCGAGAAAAGAGGCGCCAUGUGUUUCCUGUAGUGAAGGUGUGGAUGCAUCGUUGCUGACUUACAAGGUGCAUCCGCACCUUCACAGAAACGCCAGGGCAAAGGUCUCGCUCUCAGAGAGCUCUUCUCUCAUGAGUGUGAUGACAGAGUAGGGACAAAGGGAAUCUGUGUACACAGUGGGCACACAGGCACAUCCCAAUAUGGUUCCUUGGUUUCUGUGUCUGCUACUAACCCAGACCACUGAAGGGCUUAGCGAGUGAAUUCAGAGCACCCAGUGUCCGGCACACAGCUUGCGCUGCCCAGGGGCACUGCCGUGGUCAGCACCACCAUGCACCUUCCUAUUUCUCUCUUUAAUUUUACUUUUUUGUUUGUUUGAGGCAGGGUUUCUCUGUGUCGUCUUGGCUGUCCUGGAACUCACUUUGUUGAAGAGGCUGGCUUCAAACUCCGAGUGAUGGGAUUAAAGGCAUGCACCACCACUGCCUGGCUACUUUUCUUUCUUUGAGACAGGGUCUUGCUAUGUAUUUGGUGUAAUGCUGGCAAUGUCGCCCGGGCUGGUCUCAAGCUCAUGGCCAUCCUCUUACCUCAGCCUCUUAACUGCUCGAUUACAGACACAUGCCACCACACUUGGCUUAGUGAUCUUCUCUUCUUUUCUAUUUUUUUCUUUCUUUUUUAAUGGUACUGGGGAUUGGGGGAUUCAAUCUAGGGCCUUGGGCAGGCUAAAACAACUACCCGGUGACUCAUCCGUACCUCUAGCCUCCGACUUUAUAUUCUGUGACCUGGUGUGGCAAGUACACUCAAGAGCGUCAAUCAUGGAAGAAGACAAGAAAGGUUCGAAAACCUCUACUUUUCUAUAGUGUUUCUGAGGAUAGUCCUCCAGCCCCUUCUCAGGGGAUGCAGAACAGGAACCCAAAGACUGCUCCUGGCUCCUGGCAAUGUAGCAAACAGGAGGACUUUGGCUUUAGUCUUGUGUACCCCAUCAGUCAGUCCCCUCACCCCAUACCAGUAUAGCUGUUUCUCGGAGACUGCAUGGACUCAGGCCAGCAAUGCCCAGAGGCCUCCUUCCUUUUUCCUUUCCUUUCCUUUUCCUUCCUUCCUCCCUCCUUCCCUCCCUCCAUUCCUUCCUUCCAUGUGUCACAUGGUUCCUGCCAGUGUCGAUUCCUCAGGAACACAAGCCAGAGAAGAGGAAGCCAGCUGGUAACUCAGUCACUCUCAUCAGACUCAACUCUAGGGGAGAGCACGUGCCUUUUACGCAGAGCCCACCAGCCUGGUCUCCGGGGGGUGGGGGUGAGGGGGGGGUGGAACAGUGGGAAAGAAACCACACAGCUGGCCUCUCUAACCUGCUACUGUAGAUGCUGGCAGUCCUAGGAAACGACACAUGAGCCACUAUAAUCUUCUUUCAAGGGACGCCAAUGUCAUUGAUGAGCGCCCGUUUCAGAUGUUCCAGUCAGUUGGAUUCACCACUCAUUUUUCAAGUUUCAAUCUGCGCAGAUACUGAAUGCCAAGGAGAUUCCUCUUUCUAGAAUUUUCUCCAAAUAGUUGUCAUGAGUGUAAAAAAACAGGCCCACUGAGUUGCAACACUGGUCUCCUGUAAUUAUUUUUAUGUGAAGGAGGACCUGUCAAUAAGGUUGCCUUUCUUAAGGAAUGAGCCUUAAAAGAGAUAAGCCAGCAUUGAGCAUUAAACCUAGCAACCACCCGCCCUUAAGAGUCUCAGGAAGGGAUAUGAUACUGGGCACAAAGAUGCUGGGUUCUAAUGACAGGGCCAACUGCACAUAAAGUUAGCUACUAGGGACGAACAGUCACAGGUGAGGACACACAAGGACUCAGGCUCCAUUUCCUUUGCAGUAACUUCGAUGAAGAGGGACUAAUCCUGGUAUCUCAUAGACUCCCAGGAUGAGGAAGACAGUCACAAGCCAUUGUGGGCAAUUUAACACAUACUGUACGAUCACAAAGAACCAAGUACAGAAAAAAGUUAAAGCAAAGAAACCAGAAGAGGCCAAUAGAAAUCCUGACUCCAUCUGUAACAGCCCCUACCAAUGAUUAUCCCGGGAUAAGCUGGAACACGUCAGACCCGUGGUCCUGCAUUCCUUUAAGUUUUCCUAAGCCUCCGCUACUACAGACAGUGAAUGUUCACCACUGGAGAACAUUCUGCCCAUAUUUUGAGAACAGCUCCUUGGGAGGAAAAGGCCUUCAAAGUCAAGGGAACUAAACUCAGCCUUAACUAGACUAAAUCCUCAUCUCUCGCCAACUGUCCUUAAAAACUCAUUAAAGCACCUCAGAUAUUUUCAAAAACAUUGACAAACCACUUCUGCAAAGUUGAGAAAAAGAUGACCCAUAGGAAGUAAAAGGGAGACGGUGAACACGUGGCCAGGAACACCCGGAAGUAAUUGAAGGUUGCUCCCUAUGCCUAGAGGCCCGCCUUGAUUCCUCAGGUGUACGGAGGGUGCUUUUGCACAAUCAAUCCUACACCCUCUGGAACUAUGUCAGGAGGAAAUAAUGAGUGACUGCCAAGAUUGGGUGGGGACAGGAGCAGCCGGCAGGCCUCUUGACGUAGCCUAGGUCCACACGUCAGUGGGGUCCCUACCCCCUAGUUCAUCAUGAGUCAUUUGCUUGUUGGUACUUGCUAGAUGCUAGCCCAUAUGAGCUGUGAGGUGAGGCCAUGUUUGGAGCUGGGAUCCAGUCUUCCUAAAACUUCCACCUAUUUGAGGUGAGAUUCCCCACUGACUAGAUUCUUCUGACUCACACUCUAGAGGGGCCCUUGUGGGGUCCCUUAUUCACAUGGCACCAUCCUGUGAUUUGUACAGUGGUCAUUUGUACAGUCUGUUCUCCCAAGCCUGUGCUCAGACUCUGUGCCGGGAAGUGUCUUAGUUAAAAAAAACCCGCCAGGGAAUGUAUAAGAAAAAGAGAACAAUUUCAAGAUGUUUCAGUAAGAAGCCUAGUGCCCUUGGAGGUUUCCCAGGAACUUUACAAGGGCUUGCACAGAAUCACAUCAGCCAUUAGGCAAAUCAGUGCACUGUCCUAAUGACCCCGGCCCUCCUCCCCUCAUCAUUAGGUCUGGGAUGGUGAGGGCAGCAGAGGGCAGAGGGUUAGAGUGUAUGAUCCUCUCAAUUCUGGCUCUUGGUCAGCCCCUGUACCUGCCACCUCUCUCUCUCUCCUCAAUUCCACUGCGGGCACAGAACACUAUUUCAAAGAAAGAAGGGAUAGGUUAGUGUGGCACAGAGGGUCCUGGCUCAAUGUGCCAACUUCACAAAGAAGCCUGAUGUUCUUCAACUUCUCAGAGGUCUGCUGCUGGCUGGAGAAUGUCAGCAAAGGACAAUACCCAGACUUCUCCGGGACUCUACUAAAGAAACUCAGUAUAGAGUACCUCAUCCACCAAGGUGCCCACUUUUGGCCCUGUUUGGCAUGCUGACAUGGCAGAGGUCUCACUACUCCUUGGCUAGUCCCCGGCGUGCAUGAGUGGGACAGGCUGGCCCCUCCAGGCUUGAGGGCAGCCCAAUGAAAGGAGACACUGGAACUCAGGUCCCUGAUAAUACAGCACAGGAGAGAUGCCAGUAAUGGAGAAUGAGGAUGCUGAGUGUCAGCAGGACUCCAGUCAUAACGCCCGAGGGCACCUAACCAGUCCCAGUUCUGAGGAUGGUGCCUGGCGCCAUAUCCUCUCAGCAGCCUUGGGCUCUGUGCAGAUAUUUAUCCUCCAUCUGCCAAUCCCGAGGUCCCUCACGCUGGCUCACUAAACCAGGGAGACAUGGGCAAGAAUAACAUUUUCCUUGCUUUUCUCUAUUUACAACUGCUGCAAAAUGAAACAUCCCGCAGCACACCACAUCCUGCACAAGGUCCUUCCGUUAGCGGGACUCUACACUAGGUGGGUAACCUGGUCCCCACGGCCAGCUGUGCCCUCUCUACCCUUAGUGUAAAUCAGGGCUCUGGGAAACAGUGGCUUCCACAGCCCACGCUCCACACCUGCCUGAGCCUUCGCUUUCCCACCCUCCAAUCAGGAAAAAGAGAAAGAAAAGAAAAACUCAGAAACCUGAAGAUUGUUUGGAAUUUAUUCUCUUAAAUAAGAAUGUAACAUUUGUUUAAAAAAAAAAAAAACACCAAAAAAAAAGAAAAAACCCUUAAAGCACAACACCUCGGUUUCACAGUAAUGGCAAGAACAAAGUUACACAAUUAAAAAAACUCACAAAGCAACACACC
This 4660-nucleotide long non-coding RNA is filed under the name Mus pahari (shrew mouse). RNAcentral's name for it is "predicted gene, 43915 (MGP_PahariEiJ_G0002997.1)". The record is from RNAcentral. Lineage: Eukaryota; Metazoa; Chordata; Mammalia; Rodentia; Muridae.